Molecule: ribosomal RNA, 621 nt
Filed under: Listeria monocytogenes
Lineage: Bacteria; Bacillati; Bacillota; Bacilli; Caryophanales; Listeriaceae
Description: bacterial SSU rRNA
Rfam family: Bacterial small subunit ribosomal RNA
Source: RNAcentral
CCCGCACAAGCGGUGGAGCAUGUGGUUUAAUUCGAAGCAACGCGAAGAACCUUACCAAAUCUUGACAUCCUCUGACCCCUCUAGAGAUAGAGUUUUCCCCUUCGGGGGACAGAGUGACAGGUGGUGCAUGGUUGUCGUCAGCUCGUGUCGUGAGAUGUUGGGUUAAGUCCCGCAACGAGCGCAACCCUUAAGCUUAGUUGCCAUCAUUAAGUUGGGCACUCUAAGUUGACUGCCGGUGACAAACCGGAGGAAGGUGGGGAUGACGUCAAAUCAUCAUGCCCCUUAUGAUUUGGGCUACACACGUGCUACAAUGGACAAUACAAAGGGUAGCAAAACCGCGAGGUCAAGCAAAUCCCAUAAAGUUGUUCUCAGUUCGGAUUGUAGUCUGCAACUCGACUACAUGAAGCUGGAAUCGCUAGUAAUCGUAGAUCAGCAUGCUACGGUGAAUACGUUCCCGGGUCUUGUACACACCGCCCGUCACACCACGAGAGUUUGUAACACCCGAAGCCGGUGGAGUAACCUUUUGGAGCUAGCCGUCGAAGGUGGGACAAAUGAUUGGGGUGAAGUCGUAACAAGGUAGCCGUAUCGGAAGGUGCGGCUGGAUCACCUCCUUUCUAAGGA